UACGGAGGGGGCUAGCGUUGUUCGGAAUUACUGGGCGUAAAGCGCACGUAGGCGGCUUUGUAAGUUAGAGGUGAAAGCCCAGGGCUCAACCCUGGAAUUGCCUUUAAGACUGCAUCGCUAGAAUUGUGGAGAGGUAAGUGGAAUUCCGAGUGUAGAGGUGAAAUUCGUAGAUAUUCGGAAGAACACCAGUGGCGAAGGCGACUCGCUGGACAGGUAUUGACGCUGAGGUGCGAAAGCGUGGGGAGCAAACAGG
This 253-nucleotide ribosomal RNA is filed under the name uncultured bacterium. RNAcentral's name for it is "partial 16S ribosomal RNA". It matches the Rfam family "Bacterial small subunit ribosomal RNA", at positions 524 to 776 of the family's 1533-position model. The record is from RNAcentral.